Molecule: ribosomal RNA, 253 nt
Filed under: uncultured bacterium
Lineage: Bacteria
Description: partial 16S ribosomal RNA
Rfam family: Bacterial small subunit ribosomal RNA
Source: RNAcentral
UACGGGGGGGGCAAGCGUUGUUCGGAAUUACUGGGCGUAAAAGGCUCGUAGGCGGCCAACUAAGUCAGACGUGAAAUCCCUCGGCUUAACCGGGGAACUGCGUCUGAUACUGGAUGGCUUGAGAUUGGGAGAGGGAUGCGGAAUUCCAGGUGUAGCGGUGAAAUGCGUAGAUAUCUGGAGGAACACCGGUGGCGAAGGCGGCAUCCUGGACCAACACUGACGCUGAGGAGCGAAAGCCAGGGGAGCAAACGGG